CACCCCCUGCCCCUCCGCCGCGGCCGCCCCGUCUCAUCAUCCACAUCGGGAUCUACAUCCACCAACACAUCGCCUCCACCUUCUCCUCGAUUCAUCGCAGCAGCCAACCACCACCCUCCGCCCGAGACCCUGGCCGUCGCUCCCAAGCUCCUCUGCCUGCGCUCACUCCGCAGCCGCCCGAGGACGCGCCUCCUCGUCCCUGCACAGCCCGCGAGGCACCGGCCUCCUCAGCUCCUCCGGCCCUGUAGAAACCUUGCCGGAGCAGCGAAUCAGGCAGUGCCUUCUUCCUUCCCUCUCGUUCUCCUGUAUCCUCCCGUAGCUCUCGCUCAUGCCGUCUCUCUCGCCCCUUCUUUUCACUGCAGGAAGCUCCAUGCCAUGGCCUCCCCUGCUCGCCGACCGCAUCGCUGCCGUCGCCUUCGUGCCUUGCAGUCCCGGCCUUCCCCGCUGCCUCGCGCCGCUCGCCGGACGAGCAGCUCACCUGAGUCGUCGCGCCGCUCUGCCAGGCCGUGCCCCCGCCACAAGAGCUCGUCCUCCAUGGCGACAGAGGCCUCGAGCUCAUCGGUACCACCGCCGCCGUGAACGGACCCCGCACCGCAUCUGCGACCUCCACAACAGCAGCAGCCGCUGCACCCUCUCGCUGGCGAGCCCAGGGGAUGAGCCGCACGCCCAUGCGUCCUUCCCCACGCACGGAUCCGCCGACGCGCCGUCCUGGGGUUCCGCGCCAACCCGCCGCCGUCUUUCGCGUCGUCGCCGACCUCCCCUGCUUCUGCUUUGAGCAGGAGGAUUCGCUCGCAGCGCCGCCCCGCUCCCGUUGACCGCGAGCCUCGUCAGCGCCUCUUGCCUCGCUCGUGGACCGGCCUCCAGGCCGCUGCUGCUUUUCCCCGCUUUGGCCCAGUUAGGCCUCGCAGGCCCAAUGUGAGGCACACCCCAGCGCCCCACCUUUUUGUUUUUUUUUCUCCCAUUGGGCCGGCCUGUUGUUUCAGCCUGUAUAGUUUUUUAGGCUCUGUGAAUUUCUGUAUUUAUCCUGAGUCUGCCAGUUUUGCAGAAUAGCCCCUAAACUUUAUGCAUUUAAUAACUUCA
Molecule: long non-coding RNA, 1080 nt
Organism: Triticum dicoccoides
Lineage: Eukaryota; Viridiplantae; Streptophyta; Magnoliopsida; Poales; Poaceae
Exons: 2
Source: RefSeq, a predicted model, not a curated record